This 265-nucleotide unclassified non-coding RNA is filed under the name uncultured Fusarium. RNAcentral's name for it is "sequence contains 5.8S rRNA gene". The stretch from base 1 to 53 matches the Rfam family "5.8S ribosomal RNA", at positions 102 to 154 of the family's 154-position model. The record is from RNAcentral. Lineage: Eukaryota; Fungi; Ascomycota; Sordariomycetes; Hypocreales; Nectriaceae.
GAACGCACAUUGCGCCCGCCAGUAUUCUGGCGGGCAUGCCUGUUCGAGCGUCAUUACAACCCUCAGGCCCCCGGGCCUGGCGUUGGGGAUCGGCGGAGCCCCCCGUGGGCACACGCCGUCCCCCAAAUACAGUGGCGGUCCCGCCGCAGCUUCCAUUGCGUAGUAGCUAACACCUCGCAACUGGAGAGCGGCGCGGCCACGCCGUAAAACACCCAACUUCUGAAUGUUGACCUCGAAUCAGGUAGGAAUACCCGCUGAACUUAAG